AUUUAUGUAGUUUAUAUAAAACAUUACAUUUUCACUGUAAAAAUAAUAGAAAUAUUCCUAAAUA
RNAcentral lists this transfer RNA (64 nucleotides) under Tetrix japonica. RNAcentral's name for it is "tRNA-Glu". RNAcentral also lists the same sequence under 2 other names. Lineage: Eukaryota; Metazoa; Arthropoda; Insecta; Orthoptera; Tetrigidae. The record is from RNAcentral.